ACUGGGCAUGGUGGCGCAUGCCUGUAAUCCCAGCAGCUCUGGAGGCUGAAGCAAGAGGAUAGAAAGUUAGUUCAAAGCCAGCCUUAGAAAAGUGAAGCACUAAGCAACUCACUGAGAUCCUGUCUCUA
Molecule: small RNA, 128 nt
Filed under: Marmota monax (woodchuck)
Lineage: Eukaryota; Metazoa; Chordata; Mammalia; Rodentia; Sciuridae
Source: RNAcentral